RNAcentral lists this ribosomal RNA (434 nucleotides) under uncultured Lachnospiraceae bacterium. RNAcentral describes it as "partial 16S ribosomal RNA". It matches the Rfam family "Bacterial small subunit ribosomal RNA", at positions 341 to 792 of the family's 1533-position model. Lineage: Bacteria; Bacillati; Bacillota; Clostridia; Lachnospirales; Lachnospiraceae. The record is from RNAcentral.
ACGGGAGGCAGCAGUGGGGGAUAUUGCACAAUGGGGGAAACCCUGAUGCAGCGACGCCGCGUGAGUGAUGAAGUAUUUCGGUAUGUAAAGCUCUAUCAGCAGGGAAGAAAAUGACGGUACCUGACUAAGAAGCUCCGGCUAACUACGUGCCAGCAGCCGCGGUAAUACGUAGGGGGCAAGCGUUAUCCGGAUUUACUGGGUGUAAAGGGAGUGUAGGUGGCGUGGCAAGUCAGAUGUGAAAGCCCGCGGCUCAACCGCGGGACUGCAUUUGAAACUGUCAUGCUAGAGUGCAGGAGAGGAAAGUGGAAUUCCUAGUGUAGCGGUGAAAUGCGUAGAUAUUAGGAGGAACACCAGUGGCGAAGGCGGCUUUCUGGACUGUUACUGACACUGAGGCUCGAAAGCGUGGGGAGCAAACAGGAUUAGAUACCCUGGUA